UGAGUAGGAGGUACUAAGGUACUGAAGUAGUGGAUGUCAUACUUCCAAGAAAAGCUCGCAAUGUCAUAACUAAAAAAUGCCUGUACCAUAACCGACACAGGUGGGUAGGUAGAGUAUACUAAGGGGCGCGAGAUAACUCUCUCUAAGGAACUCGGCAAAAUAACUCCGUAACUUCGGGAGAAGGAGUACCUUUUUAUUAAGGUUGCAAUAACAAGAUCCAAGCAACUGUUUAUCAAAAACACAGGUCUCCGCUAAGUCGUAAGACGAAGUAUGGGGGCUGACGCCUGCCCAGUGCCAGAAGGUUAAAGAAGUUGGUUAGCGUAUGCGAAGCUGGUAACUGAAGCCCUGGUGAACGGCGGCCGUAACAAUAACGGUCCUAAGGUAGCGAAAUUCCUUGUCGGGUAAGUUCCGACCCGCACGAAAGGCGUAAUGAUUUGGAUACUGUCUCGGAGAGGGACUCGGUGAAAUAGACUUGUCUGUGAAGAUGCGGACUACCUGCACCUGGACAGAAAGACCCUAUGAAGCUUUACUGUAGCUUGAAAUUGAAAUUGGACUUUAUUUGCGCAGCAUAGGUGGGAAGCUAUGAAGAUUGUCUUGCGGGACUUUUGGAGCUAUCAGUGAGAUACCACUCUUGUAAUGUUAGAUUUCUAACUUUGUAUCAUAAUCUGGUCAAAGAACAGUUUCAGGUGGGCAGUUUGACUGGGGCGGUCGCCUCCCAAAUGGUAACGGAGGCGUACAAAGGUUUCCUCAGGUCGGUCAGAAAUCGAUCGUAGAGUGUAAAGGCAUAAGGAAGCUUGACUGUGAGACCUACAAGUCGAACAGGGACGAAAGUCGGUCUUAGUGAUCUGACGGUACUGAGUGGAAAGGCCGUCACUCAACGGAUAAAAGUUACUCUAAGGAUAACAGGCUGAUCUCCCCCAAGAGUUCACAUCGACGGGGAGGUUUGGCACCUCGAUGUCGGCUCAUCGCAUCCUGGGGCGGUAGUACGUCCCAAGGGUUGGGCUGUUCGCCCAUGAAAGCGGUACGCGAGCUGGGUUCAGAACGUCGUGAGACAGUUCGGUCCAUAUCCGGUGUAGGCGUUAGAGUAUUGAGAGGAGCCUUCUUUAGUACGAGAGGACCAAGAAGGACAUACCUAUGGUGUACCAGUUAUCGUGCCAACGGUAAACGCUGGUAGCUAAGUAUGGAGUGGAUAACCGCUGAAAGCAUCUAAGUGGGAAGCCCACCUCAAGAUGAG
Molecule: ribosomal RNA, 1234 nt
Filed under: metagenome
Description: bacterial LSU rRNA
Rfam family: Bacterial large subunit ribosomal RNA
Source: RNAcentral